RNAcentral lists this ribosomal RNA (481 nucleotides) under Clostridioides difficile. RNAcentral describes it as "bacterial SSU rRNA". It matches the Rfam family "Bacterial small subunit ribosomal RNA", at positions 1051 to 1533 of the family's 1533-position model. The record is from RNAcentral. Lineage: Bacteria; Bacillati; Bacillota; Clostridia; Peptostreptococcales; Peptostreptococcaceae.
GUCGUCAGCUCGUGUCGUGAGAUGUUGGGUUAAGUCCCGCAACGAGCGCAACCCUUGUCUUUAGUUGCCAUCAUUAAGUUGGGCACUCUAGAGAGACUGCCAGGGAUAACCUGGAGGAAGGUGGGGAUGACGUCAAAUCAUCAUGCCCCUUAUGCUUAGGGCUACACACGUGCUACAAUGGGUAGUACAGAGGGUUGCCAAGCCGUAAGGUGGAGCUAAUCCCUUAAAGCUACUCUCAGUUCGGAUUGUAGGCUGAAACUCGCCUACAUGAAGCUGGAGUUACUAGUAAUCGCAGAUCAGAAUGCUGCGGUGAAUGCGUUCCCGGGUCUUGUACACACCGCCCGUCACACCACGGGAGUUGGAGACGCCCGAAGCCGAUUAUCUAACCUUUUGGAAGAAGUCGUCGAAGGUGGAAUCAAUAACUGGGGUGAAGUCGUAACAAGGUAGCCGUAUCGGAAGGUGCGGCUGGAUCACCUCCUUU